AUUCUUUUCCAGAUCAUAAGCAUGAUGACUCAGUAUUCACACAAUUGUGUGAGAUUUACCUCUCUUAAACCUUAAGCCAUUGGCACAUUACCAAAUUAACU
This is a small nucleolar RNA of Suncus etruscus (white-toothed pygmy shrew), 101 nucleotides long. RefSeq annotates it as small nucleolar RNA U13. NCBI's taxonomy places the organism in Eukaryota, Metazoa, Chordata, Mammalia, Eulipotyphla, Soricidae. The transcript has a single exon. The record is from RefSeq and is a predicted model, not a curated record.